Molecule: non-coding RNA, 369 nt
Organism: Pelobates cultripes (western spadefoot toad)
Lineage: Eukaryota; Metazoa; Chordata; Amphibia; Anura; Pelobatidae
Source: the annotation of a GenBank genome assembly
CUACCAUUAAACGGAGAUUCAUUUUACCCUUCAUGAAGUCUAGGCUCAUAUUUGGUAGAUGGAGAGCUAUAUUCAAUCUGGGGAUUGCUAUAAUCACUAUACUCCCUUGAAUCGCAACGAUUGCUCUUGUAAGAGCAGCCUGCUUCGCUCUCUGGACUAGGAGAGGUCUACCCACUGGAAGCUGGAUCCUGGUCUUUUGGUCCAGGGUGGGUGGAGGACAGCAAGACCCCAACCAAGCUGCGGCGGUUUGUGGGGUUUACGGUGGUUAUAUUGUUCCAGUGCAGUGCUUAUGGUGCUCACAAGUACUAGGAAGCAGCGACUGAUGGAGGUACCCGAUCGGGGUGCCAGGCGGUCCAUCACAGUGGUGUU